UGGGGAAUAUUGCACAAUGGGGGAAACCCUGAUGCAGCAACGCCGCGUGAGUGAUGACGGCCUUCGGGUUGUAAAGCUCUGUCUUCAGGGACGAUAAUGACGGUACCUGAGGAGGAAGCCACGGCUAACUACGUGCCAGCAGCCGCGGUAAUACGUAGGUGGCAAGCGUUGUCCGGAUUUACUGGGCGUAAAGGGAGCGUAGGUGGAUAUUUAAGUGGGAUGUGAAAUCCCCGGGCUUAACCUGGGGGCUGCAUUCCAAACUGGAUGUCUAGAGUGCAGGAGAGGAGAGUGGAAUUCCUAGUGUAGCGGUGAAAUGCGUAGAGAUUAGGAAGAACACCAGUGGCGAAGGCGACUCUCUGAACUGUAACUGACACUGAGGCUCGAAAGCGUGGGGAGCAAACA
This 402-nucleotide ribosomal RNA is filed under the name uncultured bacterium. Its description in RNAcentral is "bacterial SSU rRNA". It matches the Rfam family "Bacterial small subunit ribosomal RNA", at positions 355 to 774 of the family's 1533-position model. The record is from RNAcentral.